Papaver somniferum (opium poppy) is the source of this 718-nucleotide long non-coding RNA. RefSeq lists it as uncharacterized. The transcript is spliced from 2 exons. The record is from RefSeq and is a predicted model, not a curated record. Lineage: Eukaryota; Viridiplantae; Streptophyta; Magnoliopsida; Ranunculales; Papaveraceae.
GCUUUCUUUCUCCCAUCAUCGUUCACAGUUCACAGUAGGAGAGAAUAAGCGUAACUUAACUCUCAUAGGUUUUUCCCAUAAACACAUCAACUCUCAUUCUCCCAUACGUUUUUCUCUUAAGAAUAGGGUUGUUGUAAAUCGCACCGCUGAUCACUUUAUGUAAAUCACAUCGCCAUUAGCAGGAAUGGACAAGUUUGUGAUUAAGAGAAAGAUAACUUCAGAAGAGUUUCUUUCAUCUUCUAUUACUUCUGAUGUAACUGAUCCACAACAAGUACCUUCAAUUUCAAGUACUCAAGUACCUUCAUCUUCUAGUGCUCAUGGUCCAAAAGUACCUUAUGCCGAUGUUCUCAGUCCACAAGCAGCGGCCACAGUUAUAGAUGAGGAGGUAUCGAGGUGGGACCUUCAAACAGACCCUGCAAUGAGAAAACCGAUCUUGAGUUAUCAUCCAAAUGAUCAAGAUAAAGUCCGAAGAGCUUAUAUAGUAAGAGUUGGGUUUUUUGGUAAAGUAUAUAAGGUGUUCUUUUGGGUAACAAUGCUGCAUAGAAGGUGGUUUUUUGGGACUUUUGUGGAUAUUAGCACUUCUACAUGAACCAUAAAGACAUAAAUUUAGAGAAAAUGAUCUGAAAUUUUAGAAUUAACUAUCUAACGUGCCUCUUGUGCUGUAUAUUUUGUUGUUACUGAACACUUGGGGUUAUGAUAAUGAAAAAUAUUUUUGUUA